RNAcentral lists this long non-coding RNA (437 nucleotides) under Monodelphis domestica (gray short-tailed opossum). RNAcentral's name for it is "lncRNA (ENSMODG00000033248.2)". Lineage: Eukaryota; Metazoa; Chordata; Mammalia; Didelphimorphia; Didelphidae. The record is from RNAcentral.
CUCAUUUUAUUCUUACAACAACCCUGAUAGCUUCUCUUUUUAUCACUAUUUUUCAGAUGAAGAAACUGGGGCUGAGAGAGAUUAAGUGACUAGCCCAGGCUCACAGAGCUAUUAAGUGUCUGGAUCAGGAUUUGAAGUCAGGUCUUCCUAACUCCCAGGGCAUAAUACCUGUAUGCCCUCCUUCUGUUUUUGCAGAAAGUCAUCAAAGCCCAAUGGCAGAAUAAAAGUCUGGAUGAUUGGCAAUGGCCUAGGAUACAGCGGCUGCCUCUAGUAUCUUUGAUGUCUGGCCAAGUUCUAAGCUCUCCACAGUGAAUGCUUCAGCUGAUUUUAUGUCCAUUGGAACACAGUGAGUAAAACCACUUACCUGAAAUCAUACAGAUAGUCAUUGAAGGGGCAGUGUUUGAACUCAGAUCCCCUGGCUCUCAAACCAUGACCAG